Mycena rebaudengoi is the source of this 81-nucleotide non-coding RNA. The record is from the annotation of a GenBank genome assembly. NCBI's taxonomy places the organism in Eukaryota, Fungi, Basidiomycota, Agaricomycetes, Agaricales, Mycenaceae.
GACCCGAUGGUCUAAUGGUUAAGACGCUCAAUUUACUGGCCAGUAAAAUGAGAGGUGCGCGUUCGAGUCGUGCAAGGGUCA